RNAcentral lists this transfer RNA (71 nucleotides) under Ictidomys tridecemlineatus (thirteen-lined ground squirrel). RNAcentral's name for it is "Spermophilus tridecemlineatus (thirteen-lined ground squirrel) tRNA". It matches the Rfam family "tRNA". Rfam says of the family: Transfer RNA (tRNA) molecules are approximately 80 nucleotides in length. Their secondary structure includes four short double-helical elements and three loops (D, anti-codon, and T loops). The record is from Rfam by way of RNAcentral. Lineage: Eukaryota; Metazoa; Chordata; Mammalia; Rodentia; Sciuridae.
UGGGUUGUGGCUCAGCAGCAGAGCACUCGCCUAGCACGUGUGAGACCCUGGGUUCGAUCCUCGCACCACAA